Non-coding RNA from Peromyscus maniculatus bairdii (prairie deer mouse), 1280 nucleotides. The record is from RefSeq and is a predicted model, not a curated record. NCBI's taxonomy places the organism in Eukaryota, Metazoa, Chordata, Mammalia, Rodentia, Cricetidae.
GAGGUUCCAUGGGGACUCUGGGAGCACUGCCUUACCGCGUCUUACCGAGAGGCUGACUUCCUGAGGGUCUUCCAGAGGAGGUGCCUCCAGCCCCCAGACAGACAGGGUGGGGCCCGAGCGCAUUUGAUAGCUCCUGCCUUUAGGAGGGUGUGAGCGCACGGCCUCCUGUGCACUGGUUGGGCUCCCUGGCACUGGGUAGAGACCAGGACAUACAUGGUGAGAGCCCAAGAACCUGGAGGGCAUGGAAAUGAAACCACAGACUGGGGCAUGGUCUGGUCGACCCUGACCCCGGAACUCUUCCUUUCCGUCUUCACGGAUUUGUACUCGGGGUAGAGACCACUGAGGUACCUCAUCCAAAGCCUAGCCACGAUGGCAGCCAUGCCACACAGCGGCUCCUUUAAAGGCCGUGUGCCGAGUCUGGCCCUCUCCUUGCUUACCUGCGUUUGUUCUCACCUCACUCUCACAGCUCUCCUGUGCAGGACAUCCUCAAGAAGACACCUAAAGUCUACAAGCAGGAGUCCCAGCUCUCACUGGGUGGCCAGCGCUGUGUAGGAGAGCUAGACGAGGAACUGGCUGGUGCCUUCCCUCUCUUCAUCCGGAAUGCCGUCCGGGGUCAGAAACAGCCCCACAGGACCACCGCAGCUUCCCGGUGCAGCACAGAUGCGGUAAGAGUAGGCUUCGAUGGGCUUGGAGGACGGACAAAAUUCAUCCAGCCUACAGACUCAGCCAUUAUCCGGCCGAUGCCUGUUAAGCCCAAGGCCAAGAGUAAGCAGAAAGUGAGAAUAAAGACUGUGAAUUCUUCCUCCCAACCCAAGCUGGACACCUUCCUGUGGCAGUGAGCAGUGACCAGAGUCAUGUCUCCAAUUAGUAGGCCAAGACCUCUGCCAACCCAGGAGUGUUUGAGGAGAAGGCUCCUCUUCCUGGACAGUGCAAGGACAGCAGAAACUGCACUUCCUGUGUUCGCCUUGCCCUGCACCACACGGAUUCACCUCCGGGAGCUGACAUGACCAGGUUACAGUUCCGGUCAGCAGGACCUGCUUCCAGUUGCAGGGUUUUGCAUAUAGCUACAACCAGAUGUGGCUGGGCUCCUUCUGUUUUUAUAGUCCAGGGUCACAUGUGACUGUAGAUGAAAGUGCUGGAGGAUUCCUAAGCAGGCGAGCCUGAACUUCUGCCUGCCUCCAGCUGCGUCUUGCUCAGUGUAUCUGAGCUUGAACUAGUGGAUGUUAGGGAAGUGGGGGAAGUUUUCCAUGUAAAAUAAAAAAGUAUCUUUUCUUCCUGGC